Molecule: transfer RNA, 93 nt
Filed under: Candidatus Bathyarchaeota archaeon
Lineage: Archaea; Thermoproteati; Candidatus Bathyarchaeota
Description: tRNA-Ser
Rfam family: tRNA
About the family: Transfer RNA (tRNA) molecules are approximately 80 nucleotides in length. Their secondary structure includes four short double-helical elements and three loops (D, anti-codon, and T loops).
Source: RNAcentral
GCCGGGAUAGCCUAGGAAGCCUGGUAUGGCGCAGGCCUGGAGAGCCUGUGAUUCAACCGGAUCGCGUGGGUUCGAAUCCCUCUCCCGGCGCCA